AACAUGGAGGCAUAUGUCAUCUACACAAAUAAAGGCAUCAACAUCUGGACUCGGUCCAACACCAGUUAAAAGGCUGCAUAUAGAAUUGCUGGAUGAGGAAGAGUUUCCAACAAAUUUAUCAGAAAUUCAACAAACUCUAGAUUCCUCAUAUGAGCCUCUGUUGCAGAGCCUUCUGAAACAAGUGGGAUGGACAUCUCUUGUGAUUACACCGAUGCAAAGUACAUUGUUUUUGAAAGCUCUCUCAGAGAGCUUUUUAAAAUAUGUCCUUUUUGCAAGAAUAACUGCAAUGUACAGCGAAGUCGGCUUGGGACAUUUGUGUCAUUCUGUCAGGUCUGCGAACACUGUCAGUAUACCAAAAAAUGGCAGAGCCAGCCUGUGAAAGGAAGCACCCCAGUUGGAAACCUGCAAAUGUCAGCAGCAGUGUAUUUCACUGGUGGAUCAUUUAUUCAAAUGCAUAUGAUUUGCAGAGCUAUGAAUCUACAAAUUCACCACUUCAGAUCAUUCAGAAUGCAUGCUCGGUUGUUUCUUGAACCAGUCAUAUUUCACAAGUGGAAGAUGGAUCAGCAGGCCAUGUUCCAGUCACUACAACCGUUGGGCAAAAUUGCACUGAGUGGCGAUAUGCGUGCUGAUUCUCCAGGACAUUCUGCCAAAUAUGGCAGCUAUACUUUAUUGCAUCUUGACAGCAAUAAAAUUCUGGACAUUCAACUAAUACACGCACAUUUCUCUUGCAGUAUUUAGUAAUGCUUCAUGUUUU
Long non-coding RNA from Carassius carassius (crucian carp), 754 nucleotides. RefSeq lists it as uncharacterized. The transcript has 4 exons. Lineage: Eukaryota; Metazoa; Chordata; Actinopteri; Cypriniformes; Cyprinidae. The record is from RefSeq and is a predicted model, not a curated record.